RNAcentral lists this ribosomal RNA (496 nucleotides) under uncultured bacterium. Its description in RNAcentral is "partial 16S ribosomal RNA". It matches the Rfam family "Bacterial small subunit ribosomal RNA", at positions 29 to 507 of the family's 1533-position model. The record is from RNAcentral.
AUGAACGCUGGCGGCGUGCCUAAUACAUGCAAGUCGAGCGAACAGACGAGGAGCUUGCUCCUUUGACGUUAGCGGCGGACGGGUGAGUAACACGUGGGUAACCUACCUAUAAGACUGGGAUAACUUCGGGAAACCGGAGCUAAUACCGGAUAAUAUUUCGAACCGCAUGGUUCGAUAGUGAAAGAUGGCUUUGCUAUCACUUAUAGAUGGACCUGCGCCGUAUUAGCUAGUUGGUAAGGUAACGGCUUACCAAGGCAACGAUACGUAGCCGACCUGAGAGGGGGAUCGGCCACACUGGAACUGAGACACGGUCCAGACUCCUACGGGAGGCAGCAGUAGGGAAUCGUCCGCAAUGGGCGAAAGCCUGACGGAGCAACGCCGCGUGAGUGAUGAAGGUCUUCGGAUCGUAAAACUCUGUUAUUAGGGAAGAACAAACGUGUAAGUAACUGUGCACGUCUUGACGGUACCUAAUCAGAAAGCCACGGCUAACUACGUG